AUUUAAGUAGUUUAAAAAAAAUAUUGAUUUGUGGUGUCAAUGAUGUAUAAAUACCUUGGAUU
This 62-nucleotide transfer RNA is filed under the name Archichauliodes neoguttiferus. RNAcentral's name for it is "tRNA-His". The record is from RNAcentral. Lineage: Eukaryota; Metazoa; Arthropoda; Insecta; Megaloptera; Corydalidae.